UCUCGAAGAUGUUGCAUGCCAGUGAU
This 26-nucleotide small RNA is filed under the name Bombyx mori (domestic silkworm). RNAcentral describes it as "ovarian small RNA-7730". The record is from RNAcentral. Lineage: Eukaryota; Metazoa; Arthropoda; Insecta; Lepidoptera; Bombycidae.